UAUUUGCCUGAGAACUACGGGCCACAGCUUAAAACUCAAAGGACUUGGCGGUACUUUAUAUCCAUCUAGAGGAGCCUGUUCUAUAAUCGAUAAACCCCGUUAUACCUCACCACCCCUUGCUAAUACAGCCUAUAUACCGCCAUCUUCAGCAAACCCUAAAAAGGAGCAAAAGUAAGCAAGAGAAUCACCAUAAAAACGUUAGGUCAAGGUGUAGCCAAUGAGGUGGGAAGCAAUGGGCUACAUUUUCUUAUAAAAAACAUUACGCUACCCUUUAUGAAACUAAAGGACAAAGGAGGAUUUAGUAGUAAAUUAAAAAUAGAGAGCUUAAUUGAAUAGAGCAAUGAAGUACGUACACCCCGCCCG
RNAcentral lists this ribosomal RNA (363 nucleotides) under Microtus rossiaemeridionalis. Its description in RNAcentral is "Microtus levis (East European vole) partial 12S ribosomal RNA". It matches the Rfam family "Bacterial small subunit ribosomal RNA", at positions 866 to 1396 of the family's 1533-position model. Lineage: Eukaryota; Metazoa; Chordata; Mammalia; Rodentia; Cricetidae. The record is from RNAcentral.